GUGCCAGCAGCCGCGGUAAGACGGAGGGUGCAAGCGUUGUUCGGAUUGACUGGGCGUAAAGGGCGUGUAGGCGGUCGGCCAAGUCUGAUGUGAAAGCCCGAGGCUCAGCCUCGGAAGUGCGUCGGAAACUAGUCGGCUGGAGCGCGAUAGAGGAGGGUGGAAUUCCUGGUGUAGCGGUGAAAUGCGUAGAUAUCAGGAGGAACACCGGCGGCGAAGGCGGCCCUCUGGAUCGUUGCUGACGCUGAGACGCGAAAGCGUGGGGAGCAAACAGGAUUAGAUACCCUGGUAGUCC
Molecule: ribosomal RNA, 292 nt
Filed under: uncultured bacterium
Lineage: Bacteria
Description: partial 16S ribosomal RNA
Rfam family: Bacterial small subunit ribosomal RNA
Source: RNAcentral